This is a long non-coding RNA of Clupea harengus (Atlantic herring), 412 nucleotides long. NCBI's taxonomy places the organism in Eukaryota, Metazoa, Chordata, Actinopteri, Clupeiformes, Clupeidae. The record is from Ensembl.
GACAUGAAUGGGGUUUAUGAUGACAAUGGCGCUGCAGAGAGAUGAUGUGUGAUGUUGGCCUACAGGUGACAGCAGCCCUAGAGACCCUCAAACCAGAACUUUAUUCCUCUUCCUAUUGUGUGCAUGAUGGAGACCGAGGCUCUGCGUAUUCUGGAGAAGAUGGAACAGAGUAAAAGAACAUUUUAAAUCAUUCAAUGAUUGUAGCCAUUUUAUCAGUGCUCACUCACAAGACCCACCCUUUCCCAAAUAUACCAGAGCGUAAUAACUCCAAAUAGAUUUGAGAGAAUAAUGCACAGAGUCACACUUGACAUUACAAAGCUUAACCAUCAGUCUGUGUAUUACUGAUCUGUUCUGUGUUGUCUCUCCAUGCUGAAGCAUACAGGUCUGAAUUUGGGGCCAACCACCAAUUGAC